RNAcentral lists this ribosomal RNA (585 nucleotides) under uncultured bacterium. Its description in RNAcentral is "bacterial SSU rRNA". It matches the Rfam family "Bacterial small subunit ribosomal RNA", at positions 338 to 916 of the family's 1533-position model. The record is from RNAcentral.
CCUACGGGAGGCAGCAGUGGGGAAUUUUGGACAAUGGACGCAAGUCUGAUCCAGCCAUGCCGCGUGCGGGAAGAAGGCCUUCGGGUUGUAAACCGCUUUUGUCAGGGAAGAAACGGGUUUCUCUAAUACAGAGACCUAAUGACGGUACCUGAAGAAUAAGCACCGGCUAACUACGUGCCAGCAGCCGCGGUAAUACGUAGGGUGCAAGCGUUAAUCGGAAUUACUGGGCGUAAAGCGUGCGCAGGCGGUUAUGCAAGACAGAGGUGAAAUCCCCGGGCUCAACCUGGGAACUGCCUUUGUGACUGCAUAGCUAGAGUACGGUAGAGGGGGAUGGAAUUCCGCGUGUAGCAGUGAAAUGCGUAGAUAUGCGGAGGAACACCGAUGGCGAAGGCAAUCCCCUGGACCUGUACUGACGCUCAUGCACGAAAGCGUGGGGAGCAAACAGGAUUAGAUACCCUGGUAGUCCACGCCCUAAACGAUGUCAACUGGUUGUUGGGAGGGUUUCUUCUCAGUAACGAAGCUAACGCGUGAAGUUGACCGCCUGGGGAGUACGGCCGCAAGGUUGAAACUUAAAUGAAUUGACGG